CACGUAGGGGGCAAGCGUUGUCCGGAUUUAUUGGGCGUAAAGAGCUCGUAGGCGGCUCAGUUAGUCGGGUGUGAAACCCCCGGGCUCAACUCCAGAACUGCCUUUGAUACUGGUGAGCUUGAGUCCGGAAGAGGUGAGUGGAGCUGCGAGUGUAGAGGUGAAAUUCGUAGAUAUUCGCAAGAACACCAGUGGCGAAGGCGGCUCACUGGUCCGGUACUGACGCUGAGGUGCGAAAGCGUGGGGAGCGAACAGG
Molecule: ribosomal RNA, 253 nt
Filed under: uncultured bacterium
Lineage: Bacteria
Description: partial 16S ribosomal RNA
Rfam family: Bacterial small subunit ribosomal RNA
Source: RNAcentral